RNAcentral lists this ribosomal RNA (253 nucleotides) under uncultured bacterium. Its description in RNAcentral is "partial 16S ribosomal RNA". It matches the Rfam family "Bacterial small subunit ribosomal RNA", at positions 524 to 776 of the family's 1533-position model. The record is from RNAcentral.
UACGUAGGGUGCGAGCGUUAAUCGGAAUUACUGGGCGUAAAGCGUGCGCAGGCGGUUGGUUAAGUCUGAUGUGAAAGCCCCGGGCUCAACUUGGGAAUGGCAUUGGAAACUGGCUGGCUAGAGUGUGGCAGAGGGGGGUGGAAUUCCGCGUGUAGCAGUGAAAUGCGUAGAGAUGCGGAGGAACACCGAUGGCGAAGGCAGCCCCCUGGGCUAGCACUGACGCUCAUGCACGAAAGCGUGGGGAGCAAACAGG